ACGUUGAAAAGUGCGGGGAUGAGGUGUGGGUAGCGGAGAAAUUCCAAUCGAACCUGGAGAUAGCUGGUUCUCUCCGAAAUAGCUUUAGGGCUAGCCUCGAGGUAAAGAGUCGUGGAGGUAGAGCACUGUUUGGACUAGGGGCCCUUCUCGGGUUACCGAAUUCAGAUAAACUCCGAAUGCCAUGUACUUAUACUCGGGAGUCAGACUGCGAGUGAUAAGAUCCGUAGUCGAAAGGGAAACAGCCCAGACCACCAGUUAAGGUCCCAAAAUAUAUGUUAAGUGGAAAAGGAUGUGGGGUUGCAUAGACAACCAGGAUGUUGGCUUAGAAGCAGCCACCAUUGAAAGAGUGCGUAAUAGCUCACUGGUCGAGUGACCCCGCGCCGAAAAUGUACCGGGGCUAAACAUAUUACCGAAACUGUGGAUGAACCUCUUCGGAGGUUCGUGGUAGGAGAGCGUUCUAAGGGCGGUGAAGUCAGACCGGAAGGACUGGUGGAGCGCUUAGAAGUGAGAAUGCCGGUAUGAGUAGCGAAAGAAGGGUGAGAAUCCCUUCCACCGAAUAUCUAAGGUUUCCUGAGGAAGGCUCGUCCGCUCAGGGUUAGUCGGGACCUAAGCUGAGGCCGAUAGGCGUAGGCGAUGGACAACAGGUAGAUAUUCCUGUACCAGUGCUAGUUGUUUGAGCAAUGGGGUGACACAGAAGGAUAGGGAAUCGCACAGAUGGAAACGUGCGUCCAAGCAGUGAGUGUGAGAAGUAGGCAAAUCCGCUUCUCGCGAAGCAUGAGCUGUGAUGGGGAAGGAAAUUUAGUACGGAAGUUCCUGAUUUCACGCUGUCAAGAAAAGCCUCUAGUUAGAUUAGUACUGCCCGUACCGCAAACCGACACAGGUAGAUGAGGAGAGAAUCCUAAGGUGAGCGAGAGAACUCUCGUUAAGGAACUCGGCAAAAUGACCCCGUAACUUCGGGAGAAGGGGUGCUCUAUUAGGGUGAAAGCCCGAGAGAGCCGCAGUGAAUAGGCCCAGGCGACUGUUUAGCAAAAACACAGGUCUCUGCAAAACCGUAAGGUGACGUAUAGGGGCUGACGCCUGCCCGGUGCUGGAAGGUUAAGAGGAGUGCUUAGCGCAAGCGAAGGUACGAAUUGAAGCCCCAGUAAACGGCGGCCGUAACUAUAACGGUCCUAAGGUAGCGAAAUUCCUUGUCGGGUAAGUUCCGACCCGCACGAAAGGCGCAACGAUCUGGGCACUGUCUCAACGAGAGACUCGGUGAAAUUAUAGUACCUGUGAAGAUGCAGGUUACCCGCGACAGGACGGAAAGACCCCGUGGAGCUUUACUGCAACCUGAUAUGGAAUGUUUGUACCGCUUGUACAGGAUAGGUAGGAGCCGAAGAGACGUGAGCGCCAGCUUACGAGGAGGCAAUGGUGGGAUACUACCCUGGCUGUAUGACCAUUCUAACCCGCCACGCUUAGCGCGUGGGGAGACAGUGUCAGGUGGGCAGUUUGACUGGGGCGGUCGCCUCCUAAAGAGUAACGGAGGCGCCCAAAGGUUCCCUCAGAAUGGAUGGAAAUCAUUCGCAGAGUGUAAAGGCACAAGGGAGCUUGACUGCGAGACUGACAAGUCGAGCAGGGACGAAAGUCGGGCUUAGUGAUCCGGUGGUUCCGCAUGGAAGGGCCAUCGCUCAACGGAUAAAAGCUACCCCGGGGAUAACAGGCUUAUCUCCCCCAAGAGUCCACAUCGACGGGGAGGUUUGGCACCUCGAUGUCGGCUCGUCGCAUCCUGGGGCUGUAGUCGGUCCCAAGGGUUGGGCUGUUCGCCCAUUAAAGCGGCACGCGAGCUGGGUUCAGAACGUCGUGAGACAGUUCGGUCCCUAUCCGUCGCGGGCGCAGGAAAUUUGAGAGGAGCUGUCCUUAGUACGAGAGGACCGGGAUGGACACACCGCUGGUGUACCAGUUGUUCCGCCAGGAGCAUCGCUGGGUAGCUAUGUGUGGCAGGGAUAAACGCUGAAAGCAUCUAAGCGUGAAGCCCCCCUCAAGAUGAGAUUUCCCAUUUCUUUAAGAAAGUAAGAUCCCUGAAAGAAGAUCAGGUAGAUAGGUUUGGAGUGGAAGUAUGGCGACAUAUGGAGCGGACAAAUACUAAUCGAUCGAGGACUUAACCAAU
This 2146-nucleotide ribosomal RNA is filed under the name Listeria booriae. RNAcentral describes it as "partial 23S ribosomal RNA". It matches the Rfam family "Bacterial large subunit ribosomal RNA", at positions 786 to 2925 of the family's 2925-position model. Lineage: Bacteria; Bacillati; Bacillota; Bacilli; Caryophanales; Listeriaceae. The record is from RNAcentral.